Molecule: transfer RNA, 59 nt
Filed under: Amphibalanus improvisus
Lineage: Eukaryota; Metazoa; Arthropoda; Thecostraca; Balanomorpha; Balanidae
Description: tRNA-Ser
Source: RNAcentral
GAAAAUGAAAAUCUUGAAGCUGCUAACUUUGAGCCUUGCAAAUAUCUGUAACAUUUUCU